UAUGGCUUAUUAGAGGACAUUGAAUAUCAUCCCCUGUGCUCUACAGCAGGACCUUGUUGUUUAUCCAUUCUGUAUAUACUAGUUUGCAUCUGUUUAAUUGUCUGUAUUCUUAUCACCAGAAUACGUGCUGUAGGCGGGCAGGGCUUUGUAGGUCUAUGCACUGCUGUUCCCUCUUGCAUAGAGUACCUGCUUAAUCAAUGACGUGAAAAACAAAUAACUCUAUGUAAGGUGGAGGUUUAGACUCUUCUAAAUAGUAGGAGAAAUGAAAAGCUUCUGGUUUACAUUUUUAAGAAUUAAAUAAUGUCUAAUAUCAAUAUAUUCCUCUAUGUGUGCAUAUACCAUAAUUACAGUAAUAAUAGUAUUUGCUAUACGUUAUUCGACGAGACAAGUUGCUGUGGACAGAAUGUUUGUGUUCCCCCAAAUUCAUAUGUUGAAACCCCAGUGUGAUGGUGUUUGGAGGAGGGUGACAGGUCGUGAGAAUGGAGCCCCCCAAAUGGGGUUAGCAUCCUUACAAGAAAAGGACAGGGUCUCCAAGGUUUAUCAACAAGGUGUCCUGCAGUAAGUUUGCCUGCAUCUGGAGAAAACCUGGGCUCCAGGAGGAGUGGAUGUGUCUUCGGGAACACUGACGGUUGUGCAAAGGUUCAUGAGGAGUUAGGAGCACGCAGCCACCGGCUGCAGUUUACAGCAGCAACUCGAGGGAACCUGAAAUUUGAUAUGUCAUUGUGGAAGAAGAUGAGAUUGCCUGCCUGCCUGGUGGAAAUGUGGUUUUGGUCACUACUAAUAAAGCUGCUAUAAACAAUUAUGUACAGGUGUGUGUGGACCUAAGUUCCGUUUCUCUGGGAUAGAUAACCAGGAGUGCAACUGACAGGUUGUCUGGAGAAUGACUUCAUAUGAUACAUUAUCGAAAAGGCUUUGAGUUCAUGAACUGACUGUAAGACAAAUGAUUAAUCUACUCUCUAAUUAUCUGGGCUUUCAUCUUCACAUCCACCCAGUCGAUUAACUCAUAUGCUAUCAAUUCAGAAGGAUACAUGAUAGCAAGAAGAAAGAAGUGUUUUAUAAUCAAAUCAGAUAUUUCACUGGCAAAGGAGAAUGUCCUAAGGAGGGUAUCUGUAUGUACAGACAAGGUGUAUUUGAAGACCUGAUAAAUUGUGAUGGACAAAGUGAUGGGGAAAGACAAAACUACUCAGUAAGUGAAAUAUUGGAGAGACGAUCUUUUGAACCGUUUCAUCAAGCAAUUGCAAAAUUUCAGUGAUAGCCAAGUUUGAGCUGUUAAAAGCACACAUUGAAUCUUGUAGUUUUCCCUAAAUUACCUUAUAUCACCUGUUUGUGAAGUUGACUUUAUGAAUUAUUUGAUUUUGAUGGAAGGACGGUCAUCUACAAAUCAUCAAAGACCUCUAUCUUAAAUUGGAAGAAGAUAAGAAAAAUAAGUUAUUAAUGCCAUGAAAAUUCUCCCCAGAUCUGUGCAGUGUGUUCUAGAGAUGAAAUCAGUAGCGAGGACGCUGCACUGUGGCAGAAUUGUCACAGCACAGAGCGGACAACUCAUUAGCAGGUGAAGACAUCCUUGGAUGUCUCUCCGGGGUCUCGGGAGGGGAAAGCUGCCCUGAGUCUCUCAGUGUCUGGGCUGAACAUUCCCGCUUCGUUACACAGAUCCUGUAGCUGCACCAGAGCUACUGAUUGAAAGGAGACUGUCAAUACCAAAUGAAGAGGCUGAGUUGAUCCUUGUAGAACCAGAGGAUGCUAGAAGAUUUUGUGUUUGUGCUUCACAUAGAAAUCGGAAACUGAAAAAUCCCAUCGGCUCGCUUGGACAGGAGAACAGCAUAGCUUCCGUGCAGGAACGUGUGUCAAUCUCACAAUCCGUUAGCCCAGGUAGCGGGUGACAUUUCAGUAGCGUGUAUGCUGCUCACCAAUGCUAUGGAACAGAUGUGAAGACUGAUAACACUCGUGGAUCCAUCAGAAAUAUUUUUACUUGAGAACGACAAGGAGUGAUGAGGUGACGUCAGUGACCCUUCAAGAAACAGCAACGCUUUCAGGUGACGUCCAAUCCUUCUGCCUCAGGGACCAGCCAUGCCGGGUGGGUCACCCUCAGCACACUGCAGCCCCUCCUGAGUUUCCUGCGGGUCCUGCCCCAGGCUGCCUGUCUGGCCCGGUCUGGACGGGGCCGGGGGACCGUGAGAUCUGGGAAGCAGACGUGUGCCGUGAGGUAAGGAGGAAUCCCUGGGGGUCAGCACCUCUGUGGUGGUUUCAGCUAGAGCUGUGAUGUUCAACCUGGUCCCGGGUCAGCAGGGUCGGCCUCACUUGGGGGCUGUCAGGGAAGCAACCCCGGGCCUACUGCUCAGGAGCUCUGGGGUGGACCUGGAGCCCCGUGUCUUGCCCCCCAGGUCAUUCCGGGGCCGGCUGUCUCAGGGAGGAGAGUGUGACGGUGCGCAUCUUGUGGCUUAGGGCCCUCCCCCUGGAUUGCACACAUUCCAUCUGUGCUUGUGGAGUUACCGAGUCCCUCUAGGUACGCAGGGCACGACCGUGAACAGAGUCCCUGUGUGCCUGUAUUCUAGGUGGGAGGUGGGGAGAUGGGGGACCAGACACGAACAUGUAAAACAGUUAGAACAGUUUCACAGUAACGCCAGUGCUCUGAAUGAAAUGAAACAGUGUGAGAGGAAGGGAGGGAGGGAGAGGUGAUGUGACUCUCCGAGGGGGGGCAUCUGAAUGAACCCGAGGACCAGGCCCCCCGUGUUGGCCUGGAGCAGCUGUCUCGCCUGGGGCUGUGGCUCAAGGUUGCUGGGUUUCUGACUCAGUAGGGCUGGGGUGGGACCCCAGCACGUGCUGCGUUGCUGACAAGUUCCCAGGAGGGGCGAUUGCUGCCGGCUGGGGACGUGUUUUGGAAACUUUUGGUCUAGAGAGAACAUUCCAGAAAGAGGGCACCGCAAGCAUUAAGACUGGGACUUGGGAGGUGAGACAGGCCUAGUGGAUGUGAUGGUUGGGAUAAAGGAAAGUUACUGGUGGGGUGAGGCAGGAGAGGAACAUGGUCUCAUCCGCACUCGUGAAGUAUCGGUCUGGCUGGGUUUGCCGUGGAAGAAUGAUUUGGGGGCAGAGGUGGGAGCAGGGAGAUGGUUCGGAGGCCAGGGUAGCGGCGGCCUGGACCGGGCGACAGCGAUGGGGAGCGGAGAGCAGUGGGAGGGUUGGGGAUGCACUCGGAGGCGGCGCUGGCAGCACGUGCUGGCGGGCUGGAGUGGGGAUAGGUGACAGGAAGAGAGCAGCGAGCAGGGCUCCUCGCUCAACAGCUGGGCAGACGGUGAUGUGACUUACGGGACCAGGAAGACUGGGGCCAUAGCAGGUCGGGUGGGGUGGAGAACAGAGCGUUCUGUUCCGAUACAUCAUGGUCUAGAGGAGGCUGAGACGUUCCCGGUGGGACUGUCAAGGUGCCGGUGGGUAGGUGAGUCUGAAACUCAGGGAGCUGUGCAGGGCUGAGGACAUAGUUUGGGGAGUCAUCGAUCAAAAGGUGCUGAUUGAUUGAAAUCCCCAACCUGGCUUGGAUAUCCGAGAAGUUAUUAGCGCUCCCGGGUGUGUCUCAGUUCCCAAAUUCUCGGUCUCCUCCCUGCCCUGCCCUGGCUUCUUCCUCCUGAAGUGGGGCUGGGCUGCCCCCCACCCGCUGCAUCGCUGGCUCCUGCUAGGAAAGAAGCAGCCCUCCGACACCUCCCUCCUUCUCUGCCAGCUGCUGUGCUAGCCCUCCAGGGCCGGCGGCCUCUCCCUCACCCCAGCCACUCUUCGUAACCCUCCAUACUUGCCUGCUUGGGGUUUUGACCUGCCGAGUAUUUGAACACUUGGCUUUUGGGCGUCUAUGCCCUCCUGGGUGCCCCACCGAGCUCUGGGCCGCGCUCAGUCCUCCCCUCAGCACCACGGUGCCGAACAGCCCCCCGUGUCCUGCCCACUCCCAUCCUGCCAAGCUGCCUUAUCACCUGCUUUGACACUUUUCUAAAGUAGUUGAGCUUGUCAGGAUUUAUAAUAGGAUGGGCCCUUUUUACUGAAAAAAUACACUUUCUAAACCCAAUUUUUAGAUCAGCUCUUUCAACUGGAUUUUCUUUUCCCUUUUCCUUCUCUAUCCAGUUGCAGUUGUCUGCAGGCCUUUUGAGAACCGCUGUGUCAUUGUGCUUGUUUUUUCAGUCUGCACACGACACCCCUCAGGAUCGCUUUAGCCACUAGAGUCGCAUUAAGAUUGAUCAGCUGCGCGUUCCGCUCGCUGACUUUCUCUGGCAAACCAGAGUCUUCGAAUUAAAUGACCAUCCGUGCUGUGCUGAAGUAUUCAUUUGCAGGAUUUGUGUUCCUGUCUUCCCUCAGAAGCACCUUGGAUUUGAUUUCACAUUCUAGUUGUUCUUCCUGUUUAAUAAGGUCAGUUCAGUGCGCCAUAAUCUGCUCCGGACAGCUGCAGGUUUAACUGAUGUCACCUGGUGAGUCGCACCUGAUGGAAUGGCCAGUCGAUCAACACGUUCUUUCUGCACAAUCUAAAUGAAACUUUGGGGUCAACUUGAACAGAGGAAAUUCCGCCAGUGAUGGAAAAUUUAAAGCCCAACCUGUUCUUGGUCGAUUGUACAUAACCAAGUUAUCCCAGCUCACAGGGAAAUCCUGAGAAUGUCAGUGCCUUUUGGAAGCAGCACUGUGUUUCUCAGGGCCUGAGAAAUACUCAGCAAUGGAAAAGUUCUAAAUAAUAUCUUAGUGGACUGAAAAAAAUCAGGCACUGUGUUUAGAGCAUCUAAGUGAUUAUGCUCUGGAGAAGUUUACUUUAUGUUAAUCAGGGAAAAUACGGAACAAAGUCUGGCAGGGACAGUGGGACCUUGAACACGUCUAGGCUACCUAUGGUCAAAUUACUAGCUGCCUUGUAUAGGAAUAAUAAAGUGUUAUUACUUGUGUUGGUGUCUUAAUGGAAAUAUAAGUUAGAGUUUACUGAGACAGUGAUGAUACCUUUUCUGUUCAAGGUCCUUUUCCAAGAUACCACUUUCCUCUUCUUUCAAGGCUCAGAAACAAAUAAUUGAUUUUUUCUGCUUCGUUUAAUUAACGUUCACGGAGGGAUUGCCACACAGAGGAUGCUAUUACAGACCUGGGAGGUACAAAUGUGAGUAACACAAUGCUCUCUGUCGACGAGAAGGUAAGAACUUGGAGGUGGGGAUUGAUGGGUAGUUAAUGCAGUGUGAUUAGUGUAGGGGCACCUCUAAUGCGGGUGAAGCCUGGGCAGUUCUGGGGCAGUGAGAAUUCCUUGAAGCUGAGACUUUGAAAAGGGCGUCAUCAAGAAUGAGGCCAGAGAUGUCGGUGGGUUGAGAUGAGAUGAGAAAUUCCUUGUACGUUAAGCUGGAAGUUGGAUUUGAUCUUCUAGGCCAUGGUUAGCCAUUGAAAGAUUUUAAGCAGAGGUGUAACGAUCAUCUAAUUUUUCUUUUGAAAAAUCAUCCUGGCAGUAGUGUGGAGGAUGGAUUUAGGGCAGGGAGGAGCUGGGGGUGGGAAGACCAGCAGGAAAGGUACUGACAGACCCAGAAGAGAGAUGGCGAGACUGUGGACGAGGCAGUGGUAGGGAGCGAUGGGGAGAGACUGGGGUCGAGGAUUAGAGGGAGUGUGAGAGCGGGUAGACACCUGGAGGGCAGAGGUGCGUGUGCGGAGCGCCCUGGGAACAUCGAGUUGUUGGAAAGCCAUUAGAAGGGGGGGAGGUACAAUCUGGGGCCUCAUCUGUGGAAGUGGAUAGACUCUCCCUGGAAGAGAGCUUAGAGGAGGGAACAGCAGCAGUCAUAAGACGAGGGGAUAAAGAGGGAUGAAGAAACCAUACUGAGAGCAGCUGCAACAGAACAGAGCAUACAGAUGCCCCACUUGACCAUGGUUUGACGCGGGAUGUUUUGACGUAGUGUGGAGGUGAUGCGCAUUUCGUAGAAACCAUGCUUCGAAUUUUCUUCAUAAUAAAAAUGGUUCCAUGGCUAGAGUCUAAAAGUGUGAAAACGAUCCCAGGGCGGAAGCUGCAGCCCAGCAGGGCACAGGGACUUGCUGAAGUCCCAGGUGACCGAGUGGCCCAGCGAAGCCCAGACCCAAGUUCCCUUCACAUCCCGGCUCUUCCUGGGCUGCGGCUUUCAGAUGCGUGUCAUCGUCUGUCUGUGACUUACCACAACGGUCUCUGGAAAUAAACAGCGUUUUCA
This is a long non-coding RNA of Aethalodelphis obliquidens (Pacific white-sided dolphin), 6161 nucleotides long. RefSeq lists it as uncharacterized. NCBI's taxonomy places the organism in Eukaryota, Metazoa, Chordata, Mammalia, Artiodactyla, Delphinidae. The record is from RefSeq and is a predicted model, not a curated record. The transcript has 8 exons.